RNAcentral lists this unclassified non-coding RNA (345 nucleotides) under soil metagenome. Its description in RNAcentral is "partial contains 5.8S ribosomal RNA, internal transcribed spacer 2, and large subunit ribosomal RNA". The stretch from base 1 to 120 matches the Rfam family "5.8S ribosomal RNA", at positions 35 to 154 of the family's 154-position model. The record is from RNAcentral.
GAUGAAGAACGCAGCGAAAUGCGAUACGUAAUGUGAAUUCCAGAAUUCAGUGAAUCAUCGAGUCUUUGAACGCACAUUGCGCCCCCUGGUAUUCCGGGGGGCAUGCCUGUCCGAGCGUCAUUGCUGCCCUCAAGCACGGCUUGUGUGUUGGGCCUCCGUCCUCCUCCCGGGGGACGGGCCCGAAAGGCAGCGGCGGCACCGCGUCCGGUCCUCGAGCGUAUGGGGCUUCGUCACCCGCUCUUGUAGGCCCGGCCGGCGCUUGCCGAAACAUCAAUCUUUUUUCCAGGUUGACCUCGGAUCAGGUAGGGAUACCCGCUGAACUUAAGCAUAUCAAUAAGCGGAGGA